Molecule: non-coding RNA, 27 nt
Filed under: Mus musculus (house mouse)
Lineage: Eukaryota; Metazoa; Chordata; Mammalia; Rodentia; Muridae
Source: RNAcentral
UCCUUGAUGUAAAAGGCUGGCUAGCGA